Molecule: ribosomal RNA, 514 nt
Filed under: Lumbricus terrestris (common earthworm)
Lineage: Eukaryota; Metazoa; Annelida; Clitellata; Crassiclitellata; Lumbricidae
Description: partial large subunit ribosomal RNA
Rfam family: Bacterial large subunit ribosomal RNA (bases 50-389)
Source: RNAcentral
UCUAUAAGCCGCUUAAAAAUUACCCUCUAACCGAAGAGUGUUAGAUAGCGUCGAAGGACAAGAAGACCCUAUAGAGCUUAAUUUAAAUAAAUAUAAAAAAUUUACUAAAAUUCGGUUGGGGCGACCAGGGAAUUACCCAUCAUCCCUAAGCAAAAGAUAAAUAUAUCAAAAUACUGACCCUUCUACAAGAUCAUUAAAACAAGCUACCUUAGGGAUAACAGGCUAAUCUCACUAGAGAGUCCUUAUCAAUAGUGGGGAUUGGCACCUCGAUGUUGGCUUAGGGAAUCUCUAUAACGCAAAAGUUAUAUAAAGAUGGUUUGUUCAACCAAUAACACCCUACAUGAGCUGAGUUCAGACCGGCGUAAGCCAGGUUAGUUUCUAUCCUCGAUCACUCUAUCUAUUUAUAGUACGAAAGGACCUAUUUAGAGUAAUAUUUACAUACAGGGAAUAAAUAUAAACCAUUCUAAAUAAAAUAAUUCAUAAUCUAUGAGUAAGUUGGCAGAAUAUUGCCACC